Molecule: long non-coding RNA, 429 nt
Filed under: Gossypium barbadense (sea-island cotton)
Lineage: Eukaryota; Viridiplantae; Streptophyta; Magnoliopsida; Malvales; Malvaceae
Description: long non-coding RNA (GBAR_LNC020124)
Source: RNAcentral
AAUCGGUGAGCCCCACAUAUUCCAGCGUUUGGUUCGCUGUAAUGCCCAUUACGCGCCGAAUCGGUUACGUACGUAUUCCUCCUUAUUCACCGAUUUCUAUUCCCUGCCCUUUGUUCAGUUUAGCUCCCGUUUAGCAUUCUCCCAAUUCCUAUGCCCUGUUUUACCCUCAUCUUCCCAAGCCGAAAUCCACCUCCAGAACUCUCCCUCCCAACAUCAAACAGAAUCUGCCAAGUAAAUGACCUCCACCGCUCCCGUUUCACUUUCAUUUGAUUGUUUUGUCGAACCAAACGCACCCUUCUGUUCUUCAAAUGCAGUGAGUAGGGAAGUCCAAAAACAGACUUCUGUUCUUCAAAUCCCAACAAGUAUCUCCAAAGAAACCCUCAAGAAAACCUUUCCAAUUCAAGCAAGGUAAACAUUAUCUGCCCUAAC